RNAcentral lists this ribosomal RNA (468 nucleotides) under uncultured bacterium. Its description in RNAcentral is "partial 16S ribosomal RNA". It matches the Rfam family "Bacterial small subunit ribosomal RNA", at positions 28 to 507 of the family's 1533-position model. The record is from RNAcentral.
GACGAACGCUGGCGGCGUGCUUAACACAUGCAAGUCGAACGGAAAGGCCCUGCUUUUGUGGGGUGCUCGAGUGGCGAACGGGUGAGUAACACGUGAGUAACCUGCCCUUGACUUUGGGAUAACUUCAGGAAACUGGGGCUAAUACCGCAUAGGAGCUCCUGCUGCAUGGUGGGGGUUGGAAAGUUUCGGCGGUUGGGGAUGGACUCGCGGCUUAUCAGCUUGUUGGUGGGGUAGUGGCUUACCAAGGCUUUGACGGGUAGCCGGCAUGAGAGGGGGACCGGCGACAAUGGGACUGAGAUACGGCCCAGACGCCUAUGGGAGGCAGCAGUGGGGAAUAUUGCACAAUGGGCGGAAGCCUGAUGCAGCAACGCCGCGUGCGGGAUAACGGCCUUCGGGUUGUAAACCGCUUUCGCAUGUGACGAAGCGUGAGUGACGGUAAUGGGUAAAGAAGCACCGGCUAACUACGUG